UACGUAGGGGGCAAGCGUUGUCCGGAAUCAUUGGGCGUAAAGAGCGUGUAGGCGGCUCGAUAAGUCUGCUGUGAAAGUCCAGGGCUCAACCCUGGAAGGCCGGUGGAAACUGUCGGGCUAGAGUCCGGAAGAGGCGAGUGGAAUUCCCGGUGUAGCGGUGAAAUGCGCAGAUAUCAGGAGGAACACCGGUGGCGAAGGCGGUUCUCUGGGCCUGUACUGACGCUGAGGAGCGAAAGCGUGGGGAGCGAACAGG
This 253-nucleotide ribosomal RNA is filed under the name uncultured bacterium. Its description in RNAcentral is "partial 16S ribosomal RNA". It matches the Rfam family "Bacterial small subunit ribosomal RNA", at positions 524 to 776 of the family's 1533-position model. The record is from RNAcentral.